UUCCGGUUGAUCCUGCCGGACCCCACUGCUAUCGAGAUGGGACUAAGGUAUGCUAGUCGAACGACCAGAACUAUGUCUGGAAGUGGCACACUGCUCAGUAACACGUAGCUAACCUACCCUUAGGACGUGGAUACCCCCGAGAAAUUGGGGUUAAUCCGCGAUAGGUGUAAUGUCCUGGAAUGGUAUUACGCCUAAAGGUGUAUCAUACAUGUUUGAUAUACGCCUAAGGAUGGGGCUGCGGCCGAUCAGGCUGUUGGUGAGGUAAUGGCUCACCAAACCUUUGACCGGUACGGGCCAUGAGAGUGGUAGCCCGGAGAUGGACACUGAGACAAGGGUCCAGGCCCUAAGGGGCGCAGCAACCGCGAAACCUCCACAAUGCACUCACGUGCGAUGGGGCUAUCUCGAGUGCCACCUGAUGAAGGUGGCUUUUCCUAGGUCUUCAAAGCCUUGGGAAUAAGAGGGGGGCAAGACUGGUGUCAGCCGCCGCGGUAACACCAGCCCCUCGAGUGGUGGGGAUGAUUAUUUGGCCUAAAGCGUCCGUAGCCGGCCGAGCAAGUCUUCCGUUAAAUCCAGCGUCUCAAGCGUUAGACUGCGGGAGAUACUACACGGCUAGAGAGUGGGAGAGGUCAGCGGUAUUCUGGGGGUAGGGGCGAAAUCCUUUGAUCCCCGGAGGACCACCAGUGGCGAAGGCUGCUGACUAGAACACGUCUGACGGUCAGGGACGAAAGCUGGGGUAGCGAACCGGAUUAGAUACCCGGGUAGUCCCAGCCGUAAACGAUGCAUGC
RNAcentral lists this ribosomal RNA (785 nucleotides) under uncultured archaeon. RNAcentral's name for it is "bacterial SSU rRNA". It matches the Rfam family "Archaeal small subunit ribosomal RNA", at positions 1 to 767 of the family's 1478-position model. The record is from RNAcentral.